Molecule: RNA transcript, 4550 nt
Organism: Elaeis guineensis (African oil palm)
Lineage: Eukaryota; Viridiplantae; Streptophyta; Magnoliopsida; Arecales; Arecaceae
Gene name: polyprotein of EF-Ts, chloroplastic
Source: RefSeq, a predicted model, not a curated record
UAAGGAUAUAAGUCCCGCCUUCCGCCCCUCCCCUCCCCCCACCCCUCUCGCUCGACGGAUAGAGGAAGAGAGCGACGAAUCUCUCCUUCUCUUUCUCCUGACUUCCAGUCCUCUCUCGCUCGAAGCAUCGGAGGAGAGCGAGGUGGGCAGCGGCCAUCUCUCCAUCCUUUUCUGGGCUAAAAGGGCAAGAAAGGAAUUGGAACCUCUAGUUGCUGGCUGAUAUUUUAAUUCAGAGGGCUACAUUCAACAUGGUACCUGUAAUUAAUUGCUCUGUGGGCAAUAUCACUCUGCUUCCUGGAUCGACUUGUGGCCUUAGGAAGGAGAUCCAAUCAACAAGAUGCCAUGUUUCUGGAAAAUAUUUAAGGCCAACACCGUUGUCUCAGGGGUUUUUAUUUACAAAAAUGUCAUUAAGGCUGUUUCAGAGAAACUAUAGAGGCUAUGUUUCAAAGCAUGGUUCAAGAGUCCGAAUCUUUGCUGCUGUUGGCGCUGAUAUAACAAUAGAGGAGCCAGAUCCUGCUGUUUCAGAUGAAGUUGCUGAUGAAACUUCAGAAACUGCAGCUAGUUCAGCUGAAACAAAUGAGCCAGCCCCUGCAAACCCUGCUGUUACUUCCACUGCUAAAAGCAAACGCCCUAGACCUGUAAGGAAAAGUGAGAUGCCACCUGUGAAGGAUGAGGAACUAGUGCCAGGAGCUUCCUUCAAAGGGAAAGUAAGAUCAAUUCAACCAUUUGGUGCUUUUGUUGACUUUGGGGCCUUUACAAAUGGACUGGUGCAUGUCUCCAGGUUGAGUGAUGAAUAUGUCAAGGAUGUGGCAUCUUUUGUUUCUGUUGGGCAAGAAGUGACAGUGAGGAUUGUGGAAGUAAAUAAGGAAAGUGGGAGGAUCUCUCUAACAAUGCGUGAUACUGAUGAACCCAGGAAGAUACAGCAGAGAAGAGACACUCCUGCUGAUGGAAGUAAUAACAAGCCAAGAGCUGCCAGAAAAAAUGCUGCAAGGUCGAAUCAGAAGGAUGGUGCGGUGCAAAAGAUUUCUAAGUUUGUUAAGGGCCAAAAUUUAGUUGGCACUGUGAAAAAUAUAACCAGAUCGGGAGCUUUUGUUUCGCUUCCAGCAGGGGAGGAAGGAUUUCUCCCCAUCUCUGAGGAAUCUGAAGGGUUUGGUGGCAUUUUGGGGAACUCCUCUCUGCAGGUUGGUCAAGAAGUUAAGGUACGGGUGUUGCGCGUUACAAGAGGGCAGGUGACUUUAACAAUGAAAAAAGAAGAAGAUGUUGAAAGGCUGAACAUACAACUAAAUCAGGGGGUGGUGCAUGUGGCAACGAACCCAUUUGAGCUGGCUUUUCGUAAGAAUAAGGAGAUUGCGGCAUUUUUGGAUGAACGGGAGAGAGACCGGAAUUCUUCUGAAAAUUUAAGCAUGUCAAAGACUUUAGAACAAGCAGGAGGAGAUGAUGAUGAAGCUGUAGCCAAUUCUAACACUCUUGAAGUUGAUGGCUCAACGGCAAGCAGUGAUGAGAACCAGGUUGUUGGGCCCUCUGAUUUAGGGGAUGAGCUGGAGGAUGAAAAAGGCACUGUCGAAGAGCUGCGAGAACAAGCUUCUGUUGAAGAUCCCAUUCCUACUGAUUUGGGGAGCAAGGAUGUGGAAUCUGCAAGCACUCAGGCUAAGAAUGCUGAGAUCGUUCCUGAAACUGUGCAAGAAGAUGUGGAGAGCUCUAAAACCUCAACUGAGCCCACUUCAGAUUCUGUUUUAGAUGAGGCCUCUGUAACAGAUGAUGUGCAGGAUUCAAGUGCUGCAAAGGUCACUGCAGAGGAACAAAACCUAAGUUCAAAAGCUUCAAAUUUGGGGGGAGGUGAAUCGUCUGCAGAUGGCUCCGCUGAAAAUUUGCUAACUAGUGUAUCUUCCAUAACUUCUGAAGGCAAGGAAGAAAGUGCUAAUAUCAAAACUGUAAAGAAAAGUGAAGGAGUUCUGGUUUCGGAAAGUACAGUAGCCUCUGUAACCAAUGAAGCUAGGGAAGCUGAUGUCACAACUGGAACUGUCCUGGAAGAUGAGACCGAUGGUAAAACUUUGAGUGCAGAAGAAAAUGAACCCUCUGUAGAUUCUGCAGGAAGUGAGAAAUCUUCUGCGAUAAAGGAUUCCAGCAUCAAUGUGGAUUCAUCUGGAGAAAUUGGUAAUCAGAAGCUAUCUUCAGGUGUGCUUCCUGAUGAAGUUGUUACUAAUCAAUCAGAUGAUACUUUAACUGAUGAGAAAGUGGAGAAAGUAACACCUAUGCCAGUUGUAAAUGAAGAAGCCUUUGCUGAAUUAAAAGAAGCACAUGCAGAGGCUUCUGAAAUCUUAAAUGGGCAAGCUACUAAUCCGGAUCAAGAAAGUGCUUCAAAAGUUGGUGCGCAAAAUGCAACAACUAUUUCUGCAGCUCUUGUAAAGCAAUUACGUGAAGAAACUGGGGCAGGAAUGAUGGACUGUAAGAAGGCUCUUGCAGAGACUGGGGGUGACAUUGUGAAAGCCCAAGAGUUUCUCCGGAAGAAGGGUUUAGCAAGUGCUGAGAAAAAGGCCAGCAGAGCCACUGCAGAAGGAAGAAUUGGGUCUUAUAUCCAUGACAACAGAAUUGGAGUCCUAAUUGAGGUGAACUGUGAAACAGAUUUCGUUUCUCGAGGUGAAAUUUUCAAGGAGUUAGUUGAUGACCUUGCUAUGCAAGUCGCUGCUUGUCCUCAAGUACGCUACUUGGUUAUUGAAGAUGUUCCAGAAGAAAUUGUUAACAAGGAGAGAGAACUAGAAAUGCAAAAGGAAGACCUUUUGACAAAACCAGAGAACAUCAGGUCAAAAAUUGUAGAUGGCCGAAUAAGAAAGAGACUUGAAGAAUUUUCAUUGCUUGAGCAACCAUAUAUUAAGAAUGAUAAGAUAAUAGUUAAGGAUUGGGUGAAGCAAACCAUUGCCUCAAUUGGGGAAAAUAUCAAAGUAAGAAGGUUUGUUCGCUACAAUCUUGGAGAAGGUUUGGAAAAGAAGAGCCAGGACUUUGCUGCUGAAGUGGCUGCCCAAACUGCGGCAAAACCAUCACCAGAAGUCCCCGUGGAUCAACCAUCUGAAGCCAAGGAAGCUGCUGAGAAGCCACCGACAGUUGCAGUGUCAGCUGCCCUGGUCAAGCAACUUAGGGAGGAAACAGGUGCUGGCAUGAUGGAUUGUAAGAAAGCUCUUACAGAAACUGGUGGAAACCUUGAGAAGGCUCAGGAGUACCUUAGGAAGAAGGGUCUAUCAUCUGCUGACAAGAAAUCUUCCAGACUAGCUGCAGAAGGUCUGAUCUCUUCCUACAUCCAUGAUUCUCGAAUUGGUGUGCUCAUCGAGGUCAACUGUGAGACUGAUUUUGUUGGUCGGAACGAAAAGUUCAAGCAGUUGGUUGAUGACCUUGCAAUGCAAGUCGUUGCAUGCCCACAAGUUGAGUUUGUCUCCAUAGAGGACAUCCCAGAACAUAUUGUACAAAAGGAGAAAGAAAUAGAGAUGCAGAGAGAGGACCUGAAGUCAAAGCCUGAGCAUAUAAGGGAGAAGAUAGUGGAAGGAAGGAUUGGGAAGAGGCUGGGAGAACUUGCUCUCUUGGAGCAGCCAUUUAUCAAGGAUGACACUGUGUUGGUGAAGGAUCUGGUGAAGCAGACGGUCUCUGCCCUUGGAGAGAACAUCAAAGUUCGGAGAUUUGUUCGCUACACUCUUGGAGAGAGCAAGGAUUGAGAGGUGUGAAAGGUCAUGGCGCUGCAUUUUUCAUAGGCCUUUCACACGAAGAGUUGAAGGUGAUGCCAGAAGGGUUAUGUGCUUCAUGUAAACGUAUGUUCAAAUACGAAAAGAAACAAGUUUGUCAGAGGUGGUAACUUUUGCCAGCAUGGAACAUGGUUUCUUGGUGGAAACUAGAGCGCCGCUGUUACGUUCUAUGCUGAAGACAUGCAUAUCAGUUUCAGGGUAAAAAUUUGAGUAUUGGUCUUGUAACCUUAGCCGUGGCUUCUAUUUGCCAUCUGGCAUUUUGAACAGUCCACAAUCUGAUAUGCUAGCAGGACUUUGUAUGCCAACUACCAUGUUAGGAUAGCUAUUCAAACAUACCCUCCCAAGUCUGUCUUAUAUUUAGAUUAAAGAAUCCUUUAUUGUUGCACUUACCAGUAUCAUGCAGUAGAAAUAUGCUGGUGGCAUUGCAUCUAAGAGGCUGUAUUGGACCAUAUAUUAUGCAAGCCAUUCAAAUAAACUGAUAGAGCGCUAUAUCGUUGAAGCUAACUAAAUUGGCCGUUUAGUUAGUUGAACAGGGGAGGGAUAUUUUAUCAAAAAGUUUCGGAGCGGAGAACCAUUGUACCACAUUAAUUACUGGACAUGGGCUUGGUAAAAGGGAACGGCGGAGUCUUCAAAGAAUCUCAACCGGAUCUCUGGUGCUACAUAUUUCUCUUCCAUUCCCUCCUAAGAAUACAAGUCUGGCGUCGUCCAGUUGGGUUCAGAGUUCUCUCUCUUUUUCUGGUUAUUGUUGUGUACAUGUUGAUGCCAUAUGGCUAAUAAAAAUUUGUCCUCUAUUGCAUGGGAAGCGCUCAAAGCUGUUAUCAG